Molecule: ribosomal RNA, 372 nt
Filed under: uncultured bacterium
Lineage: Bacteria
Description: bacterial SSU rRNA
Rfam family: Bacterial small subunit ribosomal RNA
Source: RNAcentral
CACGUAGGGGGCGAGCGUUGUUCGGAAUUACUGGGCGUAAAGGGCAUGUAGGCGGUUUUGUAAGCCUGGCGUGAAAUUCUGCAGCUUAACUGUAGGGCUGCGCUGGGAACUGCGAGACUGGAGUCACGGAGAGGGAGCCAGAAUUCCAGGUGUAGGGGUGAAAUCUGUAGAUAUCUGGAAGAAUACCAAUGGCGAAGGCAGGCUUCUGGCCGAUGACUGACGCUGAGGUGCGAAAGCGUGGGUAGCAAACAGGAUUAGAUACCCUGGUAGUCCACGCGGUAAACGAUGCACACUAGGUGCCGGGGCGGACGCUUCGGUGCCGGAGCCAACGUGGUAAGUGUGCCGCCUGGGGAGUAUGCUCGCAAGGGUGAA